GACGAACGCUGGCGGCGUGCUUAACACAUGCAAGUCGAACGGAAAGGCCCUGCUUUUGUGGGGUGCUCGAGUGGCGAACGGGUGAGUAACACGUGAGUAACCUGCCCUUGACUUUGGGAUAACUUCAGGAAACUGGGGCUAAUACCGGAUAGGAGCUCCUGCUGCAUGGUGGGGGUUGGAAAGUUUCGGCGGGUGGGGAUGGACUCGCGGCUUAUCAGCUUGUUGGUGGGGUAGUGGCUUACCAAGGCUUUGACGGGUAGCCGGCCUGGGAGGGUGACCGGCCCCAUUGGGACUGAGGUACGGGCCAGACUCCUGCGGGAGGCAGGAGUGGAGAAUAUUGCACGAUGGGCGGAAGCCGGAUGCAGCAACGCCGGGUGCGGGAUGACGGCCUUCGGGUUGUAAACCGCUUUCGCCUGGGACGAAGCGUGAGUGACGGUAAUGGGUAAAGAAGCACCGGCUAACUACGUG
This 468-nucleotide ribosomal RNA is filed under the name uncultured bacterium. Its description in RNAcentral is "partial 16S ribosomal RNA". It matches the Rfam family "Bacterial small subunit ribosomal RNA", at positions 28 to 507 of the family's 1533-position model. The record is from RNAcentral.